This 303-nucleotide ribosomal RNA is filed under the name uncultured bacterium. Its description in RNAcentral is "partial 16S ribosomal RNA". It matches the Rfam family "Bacterial small subunit ribosomal RNA", at positions 507 to 807 of the family's 1533-position model. The record is from RNAcentral.
AGCAGUAGCCACGGUAAUACGGAGGAUCCAAGCGUUAUCCGGAAUCAUUGGGUUUAAAGGGUCCGUAGGCGGUCUUGUAAGUCAGUGGUGAAAGCCCAUCGCUCAACGGUGGAACGGCCAUUGAUACUGCAGGACUUGAAUUAUUGGGAAGUAACUAGAAUAUGUAGUGUAGCGGUGAAAUGCUUAGAGAUUACAUGGAAUACCAAUUGCGAAGGCAGGUUACUACCAAUUGAUUGACGCUGAUGGACGAAAGCGUGGGUAGCGAACAGGAUUAGAUACCCGAGUAGUCCCUGUCUCUUAUAC